RNAcentral lists this long non-coding RNA (4150 nucleotides) under Equus caballus (horse). Its description in RNAcentral is "lncRNA (ENSECAG00000060073.1)". The record is from RNAcentral. Lineage: Eukaryota; Metazoa; Chordata; Mammalia; Perissodactyla; Equidae.
CAGCCAUCUUUGAGUAUCACAACCCCGCUGUUCAAUGAGAUUCGUUAGCACAUUUUGAAACAUUGUAAAGCUCUGUUUCAGGCUAGCUGGCGAAGCUGCUGCAUCUCCUCCUCCUACUUUGUUGACUGCAGCCCUAGAGGGUCAGCGAGUGUCUGCUCAUAACAAAUACCACUCUCCCCGAAUCACAGAGGAACGUGAGCUCUUUUCGUGGGAUUUGUCUUAAACCUCUAAAGUACCAAUACACACUCCUAGUGAAAUAAUGAAUCCAGGCAAUCGUCUGCAAUGGUUGCUGACAUUACAGAGGGGCCGAAGGAAAUUACGUGGCUCCUAUUGGAAUUUUACAAUACCACCUAUAAGGUAUUUCUGUUAAAAAAAAUUUUUAAGUUUUGUCAGAUCAAGCUUUAGAUCUAACUACAAGUUUGUAGUGAAUAGAGGGGAAAAAAGGAUGUAUAAAAAGACACUACAGGAAUUUAUUCAUGAAAAUCCAGAAUGUGGGUAACUCUAUAGGACAAUCUGGUUCCUUUGACAAAUGAAUUGCAGGUAAGACAAGGAGGGGAAAGCUGUAGAUGAAAGGAGACUUACAAUAAAUAUCAAACAAAAGCAAUACGUGAACCUCCUUGUUUGAAACCUGAUUUGAACAAGCCAACUGUAUUUUUUUUUUAAAGGAUACAAUUGGGAAAAUUUGAAUGCUGACAGUUUACUUAAUAAAAUUAAAGAGUUAUCAGCGAUUUUAAUGUGCAUUGAUGGUAUUGAGAUAAUGUUUUGGAAAUCCUUACUUUUUAAAUGUCUGGAAUUUGCUUCAAAAUAAUUUGGGCAGGGGAAGAUGGGUGGUUUAAAUGAAAUAAACUUGGGGGUUCAUUGUGCUCUUUUUCUACAUUUAUGUUUGAAUUUUCCAAAAUUCAAAAGUCAACAAAGAAGCAAAAUUUAAAAGUCCCCAGGGCACAAACACACACACUCUUGUAAGAACUCAGAUUCUAGUCUGACAAUUUCCAGCCUGAACCUGGAGCAGUCUUUCCCCCGAAGCCUUUCUUGAGGGUUUCACUGGAUUAUCUGGCCUUUAUUCAUAUCCACGUAGUGCUGUGUGCUCACUCCUCUUGUUUGUAACAUCAUGUGGUAAUUGCUGAGUCACUUGUGGAGUGGAAUAAUAUUUUUGAAUGAGCUUUUUGUUUCCCAUAUUUAUUCUUACCUCUUGGCCUUUACCCCAUUCAUCCAGCGAAGCAUAUAGUUCAUUGCCUCAAGAAGGGGUGAUAGAGUAGAUAUACAGAGACAAAAAAGGAGUUGAUUCUUAAGCUUUGAGUUUCAAAGCCUGAGCCUCACGGAAGAGGAAGGACCCACGUAGAGAAAACAAGUUUGAUACAAGAUGUGAGGAGUUCGAAAGAGCUAACUCAUAGGCAGGCUUCCUGGGCUGGAGUAUGGUGGACAGGGGCGAGAUGGAGGGAACACAGCCUAGUGGGAGACAGAGACAGGUGGGAUCUAGGAUGAGGGACCAGGUCUGGAGGCUUCACACAGACAGGCCCAGAGCCAGUCUCCAGAGAUAGCUUGCCCACAGUUGACCAUGCUCUAGAGUGAGUGCUGUUUGGCACCAGGGAAUCACGUGAGAGCUGAGUUAGCAGCCUCAGAUGGUCCAGUUUCUUUCCAGUGGGGAGUGUAUAUCACCUUAGCUGUCCCUCUUGUUAGUGCUGGGGUCUUUUAAUGUUGGGGAGGAGUGAAGAUGGAGGGAAUACAACUUGGUGGGAGGCAGAGACAGGUGAGAUCUGGGAUGUGCCUGAGCUCUGAACAAACUCAGAAAUAAAACCAAGAAGGGCAAACAUCUACAAUAUCACCGUUCCUAUUGAUAAACCCUAGGUUGCAGAUGUAGAAUAUGGAUUACAGAACCCCAGAUGAGAGAGAUGUAUCUUCUCUCCCACAGGCAGUGCUGGAUGAAGGGCAGGCCCUCCCUCUGGGACGUGAUGGGAUGUCCCAUGAGUUUUUUGGCAGCUCCCACUACUCAUCCUGGUAAGCAAGUUUGCCCCCCAAGAGGAAAAAGGGAGAUGAUAUAUGAGAAUGUCCAGUUUAGUCUUCCCAGUUUUAUCAGAUAGGGAAGUGAUUAUACUUCCUUGUGUGAUAAAAUUGGAGUGGAGAGCCAGCAGCGUCAACAUUAGUUGUUCUUCUCUCAACAUUAAAGGAGGCACCAGGAAUGAGGAAUAGGCUCUCCCCUCUAAUGAUCAGCAACCAGCACAUCACUGUACUGAUCAUCUGGCAGAGUGAUAUCUAUUCUUAGAGUUGUGCGAGGUCUCAUGUAUGUAUUUCAUCUUGUAGGAGACAUUUACCAAUUUUUGACCACUCAGCACCAAUACGCCUUCAUACCUGCACUCUGAUUGUAUUUAGGGAAAUUAAUUCUCUCCACUGUGUGCAGUCUCAGUUUGGUCGGAAGCCCAGGUAUUUGCUCUGCCAUUAUGGACCGUAAAGUGAUUCCUGGAGGCUCCUUUCAUCGGAUCCUUUUUCUUAUCACUCAAGAACCACCAAGAGGUAGGCACAUGGUACUAUCAGAGUCUCAUGCAACUUUAAAUCUUGGGUGGAAUUAUGCAAAGUUGGAGGAAAUUAUUGGAGCUCCUGAAUGUCAAUGGUACAAUUUGGGCAAGAUUGACAGCAAGACCUUCUGGAGUCCCCUGGUUUUGUGUAGUUCAAGACUCGAUUGUCAUCUCUUCCUUCCAAUUUGUGGUCCCCCUAUAUCCUUUCAGUUAAUCCUUCCCUUUGUGAUUAUGUUUGCUGGGACAGUUUCUGUUGCCUGCCACCAUAGAACCUUAACUGAUUCCUACAGCUUGGGAGGAAGCAUCAUGAAGUGGAAGAACCCUGAGCAGAGAGUCAUGGGACCUGAGCUCUAGUUGUGGCUUUGCAGCUAACUUGCUUUGAGACCCAGGAGAGAUCCUCAAACCUCUUUGGACUUUAAUUUCCUCAUCUAUGAAGACAAUAGGCCAGAUAACCUUGAAGCUUGGUAUUGUCAAAAGACAACAUGACCUAGUAUGGGAAGAGCUCUUUCCUUUCUUCUCUAAGCUUCAGUCAAUAAACGCAUAGAUUGAAGAUGUUGAAACUUGUUCCCACAUGCACCUUGGGACCUGAAGCACAUCUUUCCUGAAGGUGGACCCCUGAGACCUGAGUUCCGCCAGGUGACAUGGAGACAGUGGUCAAAGUUCUCCAAAGGCCUCGUGUACAGAAAGUAUUUCUUGUCUUUUUUCUUCAAGUAUCUUGGAUUGCAUGUCCUUUUGAAGAUGCCCUACUUUUGGAAACACCACAAUUAUACUAAUUAGAGCUAAUGAUUUAACAAAUGUAAAGUGCUGAGAAUAGCUCCUAGAACAUUUUGAGUCCUCAGUAAAUACUAAUUAUAUUAUAGGCUAAUAAUUCUUUCUCUGAAACCCUCAGAGUCCUAUGUAUUUUGGAAUACAGAAUUUUUUUAGAUUUUAAAACAGAAAUAAGGUGGAUAUACUUAUCUUGCACAAUAUCUCCAGCACCCCUAAAUCAAAUACAUUACUAUUUCUGAAGUGAAACACAUGAACAUUCACACGAAGUAUAUCAUAAACAGUCUCAUGUUAAUUCAGGUCAGAUUGUGUCACAUGGAAAUUAUUUUAAAACUUUUGAUUUUUAGAGCUUUUCUGAUUUUGAAAUUGCAGAUAAGGGAUUAUGAACCUAUAUCAUCAUCAUCAUCAUUAGUUUUUUUAAAAAAAAUAGACUUCAUUUUUUAGAGCAGUUUUAGAUUCACAGCGAAAGUACAAAGAUUUCCCACAGACCUUCUGCCACCGCACAUUCACAGCCUCCCCGUUAUAAACAUCCCCCACCAGAGCAGGACGUUUCUUACAAUUGAUGAACCUACAGUGAGAAAUCCUUAUCGCUUGAAGUCUAUAGUUUACAAUAUGGUUCAUUGUUGGUGUUGUACAUUCUAGGGGUUUGGAAAAAUGUAUAAUGACAUGUACCCACCAUCAUACAGAGUAUUUGCACUGCCCUAGUCUGUGCUCCACCAGUUCAUCCCUUCCCCUCCUCCAACCCUGGUAACCCCUAAUCUUUUUACUGACUCCAUAGUUUUGCCUUUUCCAGGAUAUCAUAUAAUUGGAAUCAUAGAGUAUGUAGCCUUUUCAGACUGACUUUUUUCACUUAGUAAUACGCAUUUGAGUAUUCU